RNAcentral lists this ribosomal RNA (1331 nucleotides) under Microbacterium arborescens. RNAcentral describes it as "bacterial SSU rRNA". It matches the Rfam family "Bacterial small subunit ribosomal RNA", at positions 96 to 1441 of the family's 1533-position model. The record is from RNAcentral. Lineage: Bacteria; Bacillati; Actinomycetota; Actinomycetes; Micrococcales; Microbacteriaceae.
UGGCGAACGGGUGAGUAACACGUGAGCAAUCUGCCCCUGACUCUGGGAUAAGCGCUGGAAACGGCGUCUAAUACCGGAUACGAGCUGCGACCGCAUGGUCAGUAGCUGGAAAGAAUUUCGGUCAGGGAUGAGCUCGCGGCCUAUCAGCUUGUUGGUGAGGUAAUGGCUCACCAAGGCGUCGACGGGUAGCCGGCCUGAGAGGGUGACCGGCCACACUGGGACUGAGACACGGCCCAGACUCCUACGGGAGGCAGCAGUGGGGAAUAUUGCACAAUGGGCGAAAGCCUGAUGCAGCAACGCCGCGUGAGGGAUGACGGCCUUCGGGUUGUAAACCUCUUUUAGCAGGGAAGAAGCGAAAGUGACGGUACCUGCAGAAAAAGCGCCGGCUAACUACGUGCCAGCAGCCGCGGUAAUACGUAGGGCGCAAGCGUUAUCCGGAAUUAUUGGGCGUAAAGAGCUCGUAGGCGGUCUGUCGCGUCUGCUGUGAAAACCCGAGGCUCAACCUCGGGCCUGCAGUGGGUACGGGCAGACUAGAGUGCGGUAGGGGAGAUUGGAAUUCCUGGUGUAGCGGUGGAAUGCGCAGAUAUCAGGAGGAACACCGAUGGCGAAGGCAGAUCUCUGGGCCGUAACUGACGCUGAGGAGCGAAAGGGUGGGGAGCAAACAGGCUUAGAUACCCUGGUAGUCCACCCCGUAAACGUUGGGAACUAGUUGUGGGGUCCAUUCCACGGAUUCCGUGACGCAGCUAACGCAUUAAGUUCCCCGCCUGGGGAGUACGGCCGCAAGGCUAAAACUCAAAGGAAUUGACGGGGACCCGCACAAGCGGCGGAGCAUGCGGAUUAAUUCGAUGCAACGCGAAGAACCUUACCAAGGCUUGACAUAUAGAGGAAACGUCUGGAAACAGUCGCCCCGCAAGGUCUCUAUACAGGUGGUGCAUGGUUGUCGUCAGCUCGUGUCGUGAGAUGUUGGGUUAAGUCCCGCAACGAGCGCAACCCUCGUUCUAUGUUGCCAGCACGUAAUGGUGGGAACUCAUGGGAUACUGCCGGGGUCAACUCGGAGGAAGGUGGGGAUGACGUCAAAUCAUCAUGCCCCUUAUGUCUUGGGCUUCACGCAUGCUACAAUGGCCGGUACAAAGGGCUGCAAUACCGUGAGGUGGAGCGAAUCCCAAAAAGCCGGUCCCAGUUCGGAUUGAGGUCUGCAACUCGACCUCAUGAAGUCGGAGUCGCUAGUAAUCGCAGAUCAGCAACGCUGCGGUGAAUACGUUCCCGGGUCUUGUACACACCGCCCGUCAAGUCAUGAAAGUCGGUAACACCUGAAGCCGGUGGCCCAACCC